UUAAAUUCAGAUAAUUUUGGGGAAAAACAUUUAAUUUUGUACUGGAAUUUGAACAGUAGCUCGCUGCUGUGGAUUAGAGUAUGAUGAAUAUCUCUCCUUUCCGUCGAUACUCCUUAGUACUGCAAUAUACAAAGUCGACUGGAAGAAAGCGCCUCGACCUCAGCAUACAUGAAGUCAUAGCAAGAAGCAGUGAAAGCCACAGCAGAGAUUGGAUGGAGCAUAAUUUUUUCUAUGUCUCGACGCCUCUAUGGAUGUCAUACUAGAUCAGAUGCAAUCUGAGCCUUGUUCUGAAUUUCAAAAUCCCCUUUGACACCACCUGCACAGCUGAGGUAAUGUAAACUUAAAAAUUGAGGACAACCAUCACCAAGAAAAGAUUAUCAAUUCAACUAACCAAUCAAGGACCUUCUGACUAAGGGCUGAUUUAUAGUGAACACUGCCAUUCAGAGACUUUGAAACAGUUAUUUCUUCUGAUCUUGAUUAUCUGAAUUUUUUAGCUCACCUGAGUCGAAGGCUCAAGUGAUCUUUUCUGAUCAAAGUUUGUCUUUUGUCUGUCAUUGUCAUUCUUCAAGAGGAGAGAAUUACAAAAGUAAUAGCAUUACUGAUAU
Saccostrea cuccullata (small rock oyster) is the source of this 605-nucleotide long non-coding RNA. RefSeq lists it as uncharacterized. The record is from RefSeq and is a predicted model, not a curated record. NCBI's taxonomy places the organism in Eukaryota, Metazoa, Mollusca, Bivalvia, Ostreida, Ostreidae. The transcript has 3 exons.